Molecule: ribosomal RNA, 253 nt
Filed under: uncultured bacterium
Lineage: Bacteria
Description: partial 16S ribosomal RNA
Rfam family: Bacterial small subunit ribosomal RNA
Source: RNAcentral
UACGGGGGGGACAAGCGUUGUUCGGAUUUACUGGGCGUAAAGGGCGCGUAGGCGGACCUCCAAGUCGGGUGUGAAAACUGGCGGCUUAACCACCAGCCUGCAUUUGAUACUGUUGGUCUUGAGUACAGGAGAGGAGAGUGGAAUUCCAGGUGUAGCGGUGACAUGCGUAGAUAUCUGGAAGAACACCAGUAGCGAAGGCGGCUCUCUGGACUGAUACUGACGCUAAGGCGCGAAGGCUUGGGGAGCAAACAGG